This is a non-coding RNA of Chrysemys picta bellii (western painted turtle), 322 nucleotides long. Lineage: Eukaryota; Metazoa; Chordata; Testudines; Emydidae. The record is from RefSeq and is a predicted model, not a curated record.
CAUUAGCACUUCCUUUUCCUACUUGCAGACUGCUGGUAGCUUCUGCACUGCCAACAACCUCUUCUGACUCUCCUUGUGGCUCUUCAGACUCAAUCUCCAACUCCGCUCCUAAAGGGGAAGCGAGAAGAUGGGGCUAGUCGCCUACUUCAGCCUCUGCCUCCUCGGCUGCCUGAUCUGCAGCCACUCGCUAGCAGCACCACCUCUCUCUGCAGGGGCACAAGCUGUGGCAUGUCCUACAGGCUGGUUCUCCUUCCACGACACCUGCUAUCGAUUCUUCUACCAAGAGAAAAACUGGAUGGAGGCUGAGGUGAGAGGCUGGGGC